UAAAAAUCCACCUAAUAACCAUAUAUUUACCAAAUAAAUGAAGUAUGUUGAAUGUGUUGAGUGAAUGUGUUGUGUUUUAUGUGAAGAAAACUAAGUGUUGUGAAGUUUGUUACAUGAUCGGUGCAUAGAUUUAUAUAGGGAGCAAAAAAAGCCACGGCUUAUCCGAGGGAAUGCCCCUCGCAUGCUUGGUCAAAUCCUAGCAUAUAGCUAGGUACCAGAUAGCAGCAGAACGACAGGAAGAAAGCCAGGGAUUCACGCAAUAAACGAGGGGUAUUGCCCCUGUCUCAACUGGACCGGACAGGCUUUUCAGAGCCUUGUCAAAUCAAC
RNAcentral lists this long non-coding RNA (327 nucleotides) under Medicago truncatula (barrel medic). RNAcentral describes it as "long non-coding RNA (MTRU_LNC007766)". Lineage: Eukaryota; Viridiplantae; Streptophyta; Magnoliopsida; Fabales; Fabaceae. The record is from RNAcentral.